CUCCUCUUUAGGGGGGGGGGGUUUGCGCCCCCCCGGCAAUGUCGGGUGACAGGGGGAAAGGGUGUGUUUUUGCAGAGGGAGCGCGAGAGAAGGCUACCCCACAUAUGGAAGGGAGGGGGGGCGCGCAUUUUCCCCUCUUAAUACACGGAGGGAGGGACACGAAAAAACACAACACAACGCUUAGGUUUGGUAAGUGGAAUGAGUUAGGUAUAUACCCCUUUACAAGUAUCUAUUGGAGGGCAAGUCUGGGGCCAGCACCCGCGGUAAUUCCCGCUCCAAUAGAGUAUAUAUAAGUGGUUGCACAUAAAAAAAUCUUAGAUGGAUAUUUGUUUAUUAUUUUUAUAAUAUAAUUAGAGUAUCUUUAUAACACCAACAUAAUUCACACUUUUUUUUUUUAUAGUAUGUGAAAUUUUACUUUGAGAAAAUUAGAGUGCUUAAAGCAGGCAAAUCCCUUGAAUAUUCCAGCAUGGAAUAAUAUUAAAGAUUUUUAUCUUUCUUAUUGGUUCUAGGAUAAAAAUAAUGAUUAAUAGGGACAGUUGGGGGCAUUUGUAUUUAACAGUCAGAGGUGAAAUUCUUAGAUUUGUUAAAGACAAAC
Molecule: ribosomal RNA, 595 nt
Filed under: Cryptosporidium sp. Pato 46
Lineage: Eukaryota; Apicomplexa; Conoidasida; Eucoccidiorida; Cryptosporidiidae
Description: partial small subunit ribosomal RNA
Rfam family: Eukaryotic small subunit ribosomal RNA
Source: RNAcentral